Molecule: non-coding RNA, 85 nt
Organism: Thozetella sp. PMI_491
Lineage: Eukaryota; Fungi; Ascomycota; Sordariomycetes; Chaetosphaeriales; Chaetosphaeriaceae
Source: the annotation of a GenBank genome assembly
CUCUCUGUAGCUCAGUUGGUAGAGCGGUAGACUGUAAUUGUAACUAUUUAUCUAUAGGUCACCGGUUCGACUCCGGUCGGGGAGA